RNAcentral lists this ribosomal RNA (1521 nucleotides) under uncultured Staphylococcus sp. RNAcentral's name for it is "16S ribosomal RNA". It matches the Rfam family "Bacterial small subunit ribosomal RNA". Lineage: Bacteria; Bacillati; Bacillota; Bacilli; Caryophanales; Staphylococcaceae. The record is from RNAcentral.
UUCGCCCUUAGAGUUUGAUCAUGGCUCAGGAUGAACGCUGGCGGCGUGCCUAAUACAUGCAAGUCGAGCGAACGGACGAGAAGCUUGCUUCUCUGAUGUUAGCGGCGGACGGGUGAGUAACACGUGGAUAACCUACCUAUAAGACUGGGAUAACUUCGGGAAACCGGAGCUAAUACCGGAUAAUAUUUUGAACCGCAUGGUUCAAAAGUGAAAGACGGUCUUGCUGUCACUUAUAGAUGGAUCCGCGCUGCAUUAGCUAGUUGGUAAGGUAACGGCUUACCAAGGCAACGAUGCAUAGCCGACCUGAGAGGGUGAUCGGCCACACUGGAACUGAGACACGGUCCAGACUCCUACGGGAGGCAGCAGUAGGGAAUCUUCCGCAAUGGGCGAAAGCCUGACGGAGCAACGCCGCGUGAGUGAUGAAGGUCUUCGGAUCGUAAAACUCUGUUAUUAGGGAAGAACAUAUGUGUAAGUAACUGUGCACAUCUUGACGGUACCUAAUCAGAAAGCCACGGCUAACUACGUGCCAGCAGCCGCGGUAAUACGUAGGUGGCAAGCGUUAUCCGGAAUUAUUGGGCGUAAAGCGCGCGUAGGCGGUUUUUUAAGUCUGAUGUGAAAGCCCACGGCUCAACCGUGGAGGGUCAUUGGAAACUGGAAAACUUGAGUGCAGAAGAGGAAAGUGGAAUUCCAUGUGUAGCGGUGAAAUGCGCAGAGAUAUGGAGGAACACCAGUGGCGAAGGCGACUUUCUGGUCUGUAACUGACGCUGAUGUGCGAAAGCGUGGGGAUCAAACAGGAUUAGAUACCCUGGUAGUCCACGCCGUAAACGAUGAGUGCUAAGUGUUAGGGGGUUUCCGCCCCUUAGUGCUGCAGCUAACGCAUUAAGCACUCCGCCUGGGGAGUACGACCGCAAGGUUGAAACUCAAAGGAAUUGACGGGGACCCGCACAAGCGGUGGAGCAUGUGGUUUAAUUCGAAGCAACGCGAAGAACCUUACCAAAUCUUGACAUCCUUUGACAACUCUAGAGAUAGAGCCUUCCCCUUCGGGGGACAAAGUGACAGGUGGUGCAUGGUUGUCGUCAGCUCGUGUCGUGAGAUGUUGGGUUAAGUCCCGCAACGAGCGCAACCCUUAAGCUUAGUUGCCAUCAUUAAGUUGGGCACUCUAAGUUGACUGCCGGUGACAAACCGGAGGAAGGUGGGGAUGACGUCAAAUCAUCAUGCCCCUUAUGAUUUGGGCUACACACGUGCUACAAUGGACAAUACAAAGGGCAGCGAAACCGCGAGGUCAAGCAAAUCCCAUAAAGUUGUUCUCAGUUCGGAUUGUAGUCUGCAACUCGACUACAUGAAGCUGGAAUCGCUAGUAAUCGUAGAUCAGCAUGCUACGGUGAAUACGUUCCCGGGUCUUGUACACACCGCCCGUCACACCACGAGAGUUUGUAACACCCGAAGCCGGUGGAGUAACCUUUUAGGAGCUAGCCGUCGAAGGUGGGACAAAUGAUUGGGGUGAAGUCGUAACAAGGUAAC